This 542-nucleotide ribosomal RNA is filed under the name Lusepiola birostrata. RNAcentral's name for it is "Sepiola birostrata partial 16S ribosomal RNA". It matches the Rfam family "Bacterial large subunit ribosomal RNA", at positions 1795 to 2608 of the family's 2925-position model. Lineage: Eukaryota; Metazoa; Mollusca; Cephalopoda; Sepiida; Sepiolidae. The record is from RNAcentral.
GUCGCGUGGGGCUUAAAAACAUCUCUCUUUGUUAUAUUAUAUAUAAAGAGUUGGGCCUGCUCGGUGAUGAUUAUUUUUAACAGCUGCGGUAUUUUAACUGUACUAAGGUAGCAUAAUAGUUUGCCUUAUAAUUUGAGGCUAGAAUGAAUGGUUUGACGAAGGUUAAUCUGUCUCUAUUUUAUUUAAUAGAAGUUAAUUUUUAAGUGAGAAGGCUUGAAUUUUUUAAAGGGACGAGAAGACCCUAUUGAGCUUGUAAUUUUAUUUUAUUGUUUAUUAGGAUAGUAAAGUAUAAAUUUUAAUUGGGGUGAUUAAGGAAUAAGAUAAUAUAAGAUAACUUCCUUAAAGGUUAGUAUAGGUGUAUGAAGUAACCAAUAAAUUAUAUUGCUUAUAUUAUAGUUACCAUAGGGAUAACAGCGUAAUUUACUUAGAGAGUUCUUAUUGAAAAGUGAGAUUGCGACCUCGAUGUUGGAUUAAAGUAACCUUAAGGUGUAGAAGCUUUAUUAGGUAAAUCUGUUCGAUUUUUAAAACUUUACAUGAUCUGA